RNAcentral lists this ribosomal RNA (292 nucleotides) under uncultured bacterium. RNAcentral describes it as "partial 16S ribosomal RNA". It matches the Rfam family "Bacterial small subunit ribosomal RNA", at positions 505 to 796 of the family's 1533-position model. The record is from RNAcentral.
GUGUCAGCCGCCGCGGUAAAACGUAGGAGACAAACGUUAUCCGGAGUUACUGGGCGUAAAGGGCGUGUAGGUGGUGGUGUAAGUCUGGCGUGAAAUUUUUCGGCUUAACCGGGAAAGGUCGUCGGAUACUGCAUCACUGGAGGACGGUAGAGGCGUGUGGAAUUCCGGGUGUAGUGGUGAAAUGCGUAGAGAUCCGGAGGAACACCAGUGGCGAAGGCGACACGCUGGGCCGUACCUGACACUGAUGCGCGACAGCAUGGGGAGCAAACAGGAUUAGAUACCCCGGUAGUCC